This 2324-nucleotide ribosomal RNA is filed under the name Escherichia coli. Its description in RNAcentral is "partial 23S ribosomal RNA". It matches the Rfam family "Bacterial large subunit ribosomal RNA", at positions 612 to 2915 of the family's 2925-position model. The record is from RNAcentral. Lineage: Bacteria; Pseudomonadati; Pseudomonadota; Gammaproteobacteria; Enterobacterales; Enterobacteriaceae.
AUAAUGGGUCAGCGACUUAUAUUCUGUAGCAAGGUUAACCGAAUAGGGGAGCCGAAGGGAAACCGAGUCUUAACUGGGCGUUAAGUUGCAGGGUAUAGACCCGAAACCCGGUGAUCUAGCCAUGGGCAGGUUGAAGGUUGGGUAACACUAACUGGAGGACCGAACCGACUAAUGUUGAAAAAUUAGCGGAUGACUUGUGGCUGGGGGUGAAAGGCCAAUCAAACCGGGAGAUAGCUGGUUCUCCCCGAAAGCUAUUUAGGUAGCGCCUCGUGAAUUCAUCUCCGGGGGUAGAGCACUGUUUCGGCAAGGGGGUCAUCCCGACUUACCAACCCGAUGCAAACUGCGAAUACCGGAGAAUGUUAUCACGGGAGACACACGGCGGGUGCUAACGUCCGUCGUGAAGAGGGAAACAACCCAGACCGCCAGCUAAGGUCCCAAAGUCAUGGUUAAGUGGGAAACGAUGUGGGAAGGCCCAGACAGCCAGGAUGUUGGCUUAGAAGCAGCCAUCAUUUAAAGAAAGCGUAAUAGCUCACUGGUCGAGUCGGCCUGCGCGGAAGAUGUAACGGGGCUAAACCAUGCACCGAAGCUGCGGCAGCGACGCUGAUGCGUUGUUGGGUAGGGGAGCGUUCUGUAAGCCUGCGAAGGUGUGCUGUGAGGCAUGCUGGAGGUAUCAGAAGUGCGAAUGCUGACAUAAGUAACGAUAAAGCGGGUGAAAAGCCCGCUCGCCGGAAGACCAAGGGUUCCUGUCCAACGUUAAUCGGGGCAGGGUGAGUCGACCCCUAAGGCGAGGCCGAAAGGCGUAGUCGAUGGGAAACAGGUUAAUAUUCCUGUACUUGGUGUUACUGCGAAGGGGGGACGGAGAAGGCUAUGUUGGCCGGGCGACGGUUGUCCCGGUUUAAGCGUGUAGGCUGGUUUUCCAGGCAAAUCCGGAAAAUCAAGGCUGAGGCGUGAUGACGAGGCACUGCGGUGCUGAAGCAACAAAUGCCCUGCUUCCAGGAAAAGCCUCUAAGCAUCAGGUAACAUCAAAUCGUACCCCAAACCGACACAGGUGGUCAGGUAGAGAAUACCAAGGCGCUUGAGAGAACUCGGGUGAAGGAACUAGGCAAAAUGGUGCCGUAACUUCGGGAGAAGGCACGCUGAUAUGUAGGUGAAGUCCCUCGCGGAUGGAGCUGAAAUCAGUCGAAGAUACCAGCUGGCUGCAACUGUUUAUUAAAAACACAGCACUGUGCAAACACGAAAGUGGACGUAUACGGUGUGACGCCUGCCCGGUGCCGGAAGGUUAAUUGAUGGGGUUAGCGCAAGCGAAGCUCUUGAUCGAAGCCCCGGUAAACGGCGGCCGUAACUAUAACGGUCCUAAGGUAGCGAAAUUCCUUGUCGGGUAAGUUCCGACCUGCACGAAUGGCGUAAUGAUGGCUAGGCUGUCUCCACCCGAGACUCAGUGAAAUUGAACUCGCUGUGAAGAUGCAGUGUACCCGCGGCAAGACGGAAAGACCCCGUGAACCUUUACUAUAGCUUGACACUGAACAUUGAGCCUUGAUGUGUAGGAUAGGUGGGAGGCUUUGAAGUGUGGACGCCAGUCUGCAUGGAGCCGACCUUGAAAUACCACCCUUUAAUGUUUGAUGUUCUAACGUUGACCCGUAAUCCGGGUUGCGGACAGUGUCUGGUGGGUAGUUUGACUGGGGCGGUCUCCUCCUAAAGAGUAACGGAGGAGCACGAAGGUUGGCUAAUCCUGGUCGGACAUCAGGAGGUUAGUGCAAUGGCAUAAGCCAGCUUGACUGCGAGCGUGACGGCGCGAGCAGGUGCGAAAGCAGGUCAUAGUGAUCCGGUGGUUCUGAAUGGAAGGGCCAUCGCUCAACGGAUAAAAGGUACUCCGGGGAUAACAGGCUGAUACCGCCCAAGAGUUCAUAUCGACGGCGGUGUUUGGCACCUCGAUGUCGGCUCAUCACAUCCUGGGGCUGAAGUAGGUCCCAAGGGUAUGGCUGUUCGCCAUUUAAAGUGGUACGCGAGCUGGGUUUAGAACGUCGUGAGACAGUUCGGUCCCUAUCUGCCGUGGGCGCUGGAGAACUGAGGGGGGCUGCUCCUAGUACGAGAGGACCGGAGUGGACGCAUCACUGGUGUUCGGGUUGUCAUGCCAAUGGCACUGCCCGGUAGCUAAAUGCGGAAGAGAUAAGUGCUGAAAGCAUCUAAGCACGAAACUUGCCCCGAGAUGAGUUCUCCCUGACUCCUUGAGAGUCCUGAAGGAACGUUGAAGACGACGACGUUGAUAGGCCGGGUGUGUAAGCGCAGCGAUGCGUUGAGCUAACCGGUACUAAUGAACCGUGAGG